UGGGGAAUAUUGCGCAAUGGGCGAAAGCCUGACGCAGCGACGCCGCGUGAGGGAUGAAGGUUUUCGGAUCGUAAACCUCUGUCAGAAGGGAAGAAACCGCACUGUGCUAAUCAGCAGUGCCUUGACGGUAGCUUCAAAGGAAGCACCGGCUAACUCCGUGCCAGCAGCCGCGGUAAUACGGAGGGUGCAAGCGUUAAUCGGAAUUACUGGGCGUAAAGCGCACGUAGGCUGCUUUGUAAGUCAGGGGUGAAAUCCCACGGCUCAACCGUGGAACUGCCUUUGAUACUGCUUAGCUUGAAUCCGGGAGAGGGUGGCGGAAUUCCAGGUGUAGGAGUGAAAUCCGUAGAUAUCUGGAGGAACAUCAGUGGCGAAGGCGGCCACCUGGACCGGUAUUGACGCUGAGGUGCGAAAGCGUGGGGAGCAAACAGG
RNAcentral lists this ribosomal RNA (429 nucleotides) under Fusobacteriota bacterium. RNAcentral's name for it is "Fusobacteria bacterium partial 16S ribosomal RNA". It matches the Rfam family "Bacterial small subunit ribosomal RNA", at positions 355 to 776 of the family's 1533-position model. The record is from RNAcentral. Lineage: Bacteria; Fusobacteriati; Fusobacteriota.